AAGGAUCAUUAAUGAAUUCACUCUUGAAGUUGUUGCUGGUCUCUCGGGACAUGUGCACGCUUCAUAAGUACAUUCAACCACCUGUGCACUUUUGAUAGAUUCGCAGAGUCGCUCCCUCAAGUCAGUCAAUGACUUGGUAGGUUGGGAUUGUCGCAGUCCUGGCUUCGACUUUGUGGGUCUAUUAUUAUCUUACACACCCCAAAUGUAUGUCCAUGAAUGUUAUUACUUGGGCCAUGUGCCUAUAAAAACCUAAUACA
Molecule: unclassified non-coding RNA, 257 nt
Filed under: Pleurotus cystidiosus
Lineage: Eukaryota; Fungi; Basidiomycota; Agaricomycetes; Agaricales; Pleurotaceae
Description: ITS1
Source: RNAcentral